Vespa velutina is the source of this 770-nucleotide long non-coding RNA. RefSeq lists it as uncharacterized. The transcript has 3 exons. Lineage: Eukaryota; Metazoa; Arthropoda; Insecta; Hymenoptera; Vespidae. The record is from RefSeq and is a predicted model, not a curated record.
GCGAAGAGAACAUCGUUCGCUGAUGGUGUGCUAAAUGUUGCUGAAGGUAGCCAUAAUUAAAAGAAACAAGUGUGAAUAGUAGUACACGUAGGAAAAAAUUAUUGAUCUAUUUAAUCGUGGGUGUAUCUCGAGGGCAAGGUCGUGAGACGUUUGCUGUUUCCACCUUAAUGUAGUGAAAGUAGUGAAAGUGUUGUGAAAAUGGAAUCAUCUGGGAAGAAAAGAAGAAAAGAAGGAGGCUGAUGAACAUUAAAUCGUGCAAAUCCAUAUGAGCGUAUGCAAGAAUCGACCAGACGUUUCUUGAGCCCAACGACGAAAGGACGACGAGAGAAAGAGAUUGAAGAAAAAGAAAGAGACGAGACAAGAGGGAAGUUAACGGAGACGAGGGAAAAGAGUGCGAAGAGGAUUUGCUGGACAACGGGAUGAAAGGGAAUGCUUGAUCGAGUCCGUGAAAAUCAUAGGAAGCUUGAUUUAAACAUGACAAGGAGAUCGAAAUUGUUAUUAACAAUUUUCAUUGAAAGAGAAGUUUGAACCUUUGUAAACGAAAGCGACACAGGGUAUAUAAUUCAUCGACAACUAAAGGAGAAUAUAGAAAUAGCUUGGAUUUUUCCAACAGUAAGUUCGAAGAUUCUAAUGACGAUAAUAAACUAUGUAUGCAUACAUAGGUAAAAAUUGUACUCUUUAUUUUAAAAUUGAGGUACGAUAAAGAAAGGUGUCAAACCUAUUUAAAUGAUCGAUAUGUAAAUACUUCCGGUAGUUAGUUUCAUGUAAGC